This 837-nucleotide ribosomal RNA is filed under the name Escherichia coli. RNAcentral describes it as "partial 23S ribosomal RNA". It matches the Rfam family "Bacterial large subunit ribosomal RNA", at positions 1991 to 2825 of the family's 2925-position model. Lineage: Bacteria; Pseudomonadati; Pseudomonadota; Gammaproteobacteria; Enterobacterales; Enterobacteriaceae. The record is from RNAcentral.
CACGAAUGGCGUAAUGAUGGCCAGGCUGUCUCCACCCGAGACUCAGUGAAAUUGAACUCGCUGUGAAGAUGCAGUGUACCCGCGGCAAGACGGAAAGACCCCGUGAACCUUUACUAUAGCUUGACACUGAACAUUGAGCCUUGAUGUGUAGGAUAGGUGGGAGGCUUAGAAGUGUGGACGCCAGUCUGCAUGGAGCCGACCUUGAAAUACCACCCUUUAAUGUUUGAUGUUCUAACGUUGACCCGUAAUCCGGGUUGCGGACAGUGUCUGGUGGGUAGUUUGACUGGGGCGGUCUCCUCCUAAAGAGUAACGGAGGAGCACGAAGGUUGGCUAAUCCUGGUCGGACAUCAGGAGGUUAGUGCAAUGGCAUAAGCCAGCUUGACUGCGAGCGUGACGGCGCGAGCAGGUGCGAAAGCAGGUCAUAGUGAUCCGGUGGUUCUGAAUGGAAGGGCCAUCGCUCAACGGAUAAAAGGUACUCCGGGGAUAACAGGCUGAUACCGCCCAAGAGUUCAUAUCGACGGCGGUGUUUGGCACCUCGAUGUCGGCUCAUCACAUCCUGGGGCUGAAGUAGGUCCCAAGGGUAUGGCUGUUCGCCAUUUAAAGUGGUACGCGAGCUGGGUUUAGAACGUCGUGAGACAGUUCGGUCCCUAUCUGCCGUGGGCGCUGGAGAACUGAGGGGGGCUGCUCCUAGUACGAGAGGACCGGAGUGGACGCAUCACUGGUGUUCGGGUUGUCAUGCCAAUGGCACUGCCCGGUAGCUAAAUGCGGAAGAGAUAAGUGCUGAAAGCAUCUAAGCACGAAACUUGCCCCGAGAUGAGUUCUCCCUGACCCUUUAAG